This 348-nucleotide unclassified non-coding RNA is filed under the name soil metagenome. RNAcentral's name for it is "partial contains 5.8S ribosomal RNA, internal transcribed spacer 2, and large subunit ribosomal RNA". The stretch from base 1 to 120 matches the Rfam family "5.8S ribosomal RNA", at positions 35 to 154 of the family's 154-position model. The record is from RNAcentral.
GAUGAAGAACGCAGUGAAAUGCGAUAAGUAGUGUGAAUUGCAGAAUUCAGUGAAUCAUCGAAUCUUUGAACGCACAUUGCGCCCGCUGGUAUUCCGGCGGGCAUGCCUGUUCGAGCGUCAUUUCAACCCUCAAGCCCCCGGGUUUGGUGUUGGGGAUCGGCUCUGCCCUUCUGGGCGGUGCCGCCCCCGAAAUACAUUGGCGGUCUCGCUGCAGCCUCCAUUGCGUAGUAGCUAACACCUCGCAACUGGAACGCGGCGCGGCCAUGCCGUAAAACCCCAACUUCUGAAUGUUGACCUCGGAUCAGGUAGGAAUACCCGCUGAACUUAAGCAUAUCAAUAAGCGGAGGA